AACCCCUUGGUCGAGGCCACGGCGACCUCGGGCCCGGCCCGGGUGUAGAGGACGGCGUCGGACUCGCGCGGGAUGGUCGACCCGUUGGCGUUGC
Molecule: transfer RNA, 94 nt
Filed under: Klenkia terrae
Lineage: Bacteria; Bacillati; Actinomycetota; Actinomycetes; Geodermatophilales; Geodermatophilaceae
Also listed under: 1 other name
Description: tRNA-Arg
Source: RNAcentral